UGCCCCCUUCGUCUAGUGGCCCAGGACGUCGGGUUCUCAUCCCGGAAACAGGAGUUCGAUUCUCCUAGGGGGUAA
This 75-nucleotide transfer RNA is filed under the name Sedimentisphaera salicampi. Its description in RNAcentral is "tRNA-Glu". It matches the Rfam family "tRNA". Rfam says of the family: Transfer RNA (tRNA) molecules are approximately 80 nucleotides in length. Their secondary structure includes four short double-helical elements and three loops (D, anti-codon, and T loops). The record is from RNAcentral. Lineage: Bacteria; Pseudomonadati; Planctomycetota; Phycisphaerae; Sedimentisphaerales; Sedimentisphaeraceae.